UGGCAAACCCCACGCAUCCAGUGCCGGGUGGAACCUUAGUGUGAAGAAACUGCCUUUGAAAACAAUAAGUCAGGCAGAGCUGGUGGCCUUCAAAAGGGUCCCAGGUUACACUGUUGCUGCUGGUGCUGAACACAUCCCGAGAGCCCCUGCACUACGUGGUACUGUUACUGAUGUCACCCAACUCACAAACAGAACUGGUGGAAAGAAUGCAUGUGGGUAUUUAUGAAAUAACUUAGAGUCAUAAACAUGUCCCACAGUAGGCAGUGAAUUACUCAGAGAAAUGGAUAGAAGAUGGUUUCCAUUCUGGCCUUUGCUAAUUUUUAAGGAUCUAAGAUAGAAAGACCAACUCUCAGAUGCGUUACAUUGUCUCUCCACACAAGGUGUA
RNAcentral lists this long non-coding RNA (385 nucleotides) under Equus caballus (horse). Its description in RNAcentral is "lncRNA (ENSECAG00000057668.1)". Lineage: Eukaryota; Metazoa; Chordata; Mammalia; Perissodactyla; Equidae. The record is from RNAcentral.